RNAcentral lists this ribosomal RNA (776 nucleotides) under uncultured Neocallimastigales. RNAcentral's name for it is "partial large subunit ribosomal RNA". It matches the Rfam family "Eukaryotic large subunit ribosomal RNA", at positions 22 to 644 of the family's 3401-position model. The record is from RNAcentral. Lineage: Eukaryota; Fungi; Neocallimastigomycota; Neocallimastigomycetes; Neocallimastigales.
CAUAGCGACUAUCGUGGCAUAUCAAUAAGCGGAGGAAAAGAAACUAACAAGGAUUCCCUUAGUAACGGCGAGUGAAGCGGGAAGAGCUCAAAUUUGAAAUCUUCAAGGUUUUACCUUGACGAAUUGUAGUUUAAAGAAGUGUUUUCUGUUGGAGUUUUGGUAAAAGUUCUUUGGAAUAGGACAUCAUAGAGGGUGAGAAUCCCGUAUUUGACCAUUAUUUCCAGCUGUGUGAUACACUUUCAACGAGUCGGAUUGUUUGGGAAUGCAGUCCAAAAUGGGUGGUAAAUUUCAUCUAAAGCUAAAUAUUGGCGAGAGACCGAUAGCGAACAAGUACCGUGAGGGAAAGAUGAAAAGAACUUUGAAAAGAGAGUUAAACAGUACGUGAAAUUGUCAAAAGGGAAGCGUUUGACACCAGUGUUGUUUUUCCGAAAAUCAAUUACAAAUGAUGUUGAUUUUUGAGGUUAUGACUUCAUCAGCUUGCUGCACUUUCUUUACUAUCUUUCUUAAUGCACUUUUCGUUAACAAGUCAACAUCAAUUUCUUUUAGUUGUAAAAGAGUCAUGAGGAAGGUGGCUUUUCUUUCGGAAAAGUGUUUAUAGCCUUGUGCCUCUGCAAUCGGAGAGAUUGAGGUCUGCAGCGUAGAUCCUUCGGGGUUAGAUACAUUUGUGCUAAGUUAUAGUCUUUUCAUAGACAACUUGUUGACUAUAAUUAAUCUUGUAACUUACUCGCUUACGCUAUUUUACCUACGCUUAGGAUGUUGAAGAUAUGCGCGACACG